This is a long non-coding RNA of Hordeum vulgare subsp. vulgare (domesticated barley), 960 nucleotides long. RefSeq lists it as uncharacterized. The transcript has 3 exons. The record is from RefSeq and is a predicted model, not a curated record. Lineage: Eukaryota; Viridiplantae; Streptophyta; Magnoliopsida; Poales; Poaceae.
UUGAUCGGGGAUUCAAUUUUGUUUUCUAUGUUCUUUUUCUAGCAUGUCCUUUGAUGUGUUGUGUUCUCCAGAGAUUCAAUCAUCAAUCUUCUCAUGUACAAUCUUGGGAUACUACAUGGAGAUCGGGUCCUAGCACAAUUUUAGGCACGUGCUUAAGAUCUAGACUGCAAUCCCAACAUACUCAGUUCAGAAAAGAGAUGGUUUUGGGAGUCCGCUUUGAUAAACUGGUGAUAGCAUGGCAUGCCAUCUAAAAUAUCUGCAUCCGGUGAGGAAAAGAAGAAAAAGCAAUGACAGAAUAAUUUAUAUAGUUACAGAGCGGAUGCAUUGAUAUUUUUCUUAAGAGUAAUAUGAGGAGUUGAAGGAAUCCAGGUGUGACAUUUGUUCUGAUGGAACUACUAGUCAUAAUCCAGAAGACAAGGGCACAAGGGCAACCAACAGAUGAUAAGAAUGUAAAGAUUUGGGAUGAUCGCAAGUUAGCGCCUCUAUCGAUUCUAAAGCCACAUGAUGGUCAAGCUGUUUACUCAGUUGCCUUUCUUACAGCACCUGAGCGCCCACAUCAUAUAAAUCUCAUCACAGCAGUAUCAGCAAUUUAGGUCCCCGGUUCAUCUUUAGAUGUCGUUCGGAAAGAAACUUAUCUUAGUCUCAGAAAUAUUUUCUUUUUUCCUUCUACGAUAUUUGUUGCAGCUUGCUUUAUAUGACAGAACUGCUGUGCAUCAUAUGAUACUGGAAAAAUCAUGGUAAAAAACUAUGCCAUCUAAAAUUCAGAUGUACACUAACCUUGGUGGCUGCUGCUUGUAGAUGGAUGGGGGUUGGCUGGAUGCAGACUUGACGGAGGUGGAGCCCGACGGCGACUCAACGACGGAGGCCGGACUACCGGAGGCGGAGCCGUCAACGCGCCCGCAAGGGGUGGCUGGAUGCAGUACUGGAUGUGGAAUUGCGGAGCCGCGGGGGAGCGGGUCG